Molecule: unclassified non-coding RNA, 258 nt
Filed under: Ambisporaceae sp.
Lineage: Eukaryota; Fungi; Glomeromycota; Glomeromycetes; Archaeosporales; Ambisporaceae
Description: partial contains 5.8S ribosomal RNA and internal transcribed spacer 2
Rfam family: 5.8S ribosomal RNA (bases 1-71)
Source: RNAcentral
GUGAAUCAUCAAAUUUUUGAACGCAUAUUGCACUCUUUGGUAUUCCGGAGAGUAUGCCUGUUUGAGGGUAAUUAAAAAGAAUCUUUAACCAAUUUUUUUGGUUAAAGGAUAUGAGUUAUCAUCGUUUAUAGCGGUAUCUUGACAUAAAUGGUCAUGUCUCAUUUUAGUCGAGACGCGUACUAAUAUUAUUUCGCGAAAUCUUCAUUAUGUGACUAUCAAGUUUUGAUGAAUACAAAUUUGGUUUGAUUGCUAUCUAUU